UGAGGUGUGGCUCAAUGGUAGAGUGUGUGCCUAGCUCACAAGGCCCUGGGUUCGAUCCCCAGUAUGGCAA
Molecule: transfer RNA, 70 nt
Filed under: Marmota marmota marmota (Alpine marmot)
Lineage: Eukaryota; Metazoa; Chordata; Mammalia; Rodentia; Sciuridae
Also listed under: 3 other names
Rfam family: tRNA
About the family: Transfer RNA (tRNA) molecules are approximately 80 nucleotides in length. Their secondary structure includes four short double-helical elements and three loops (D, anti-codon, and T loops). Further hydrogen bonds mediate the characteristic L-shaped molecular structure. tRNAs have two regions of fundamental functional importance: the anti-codon, which is responsible for specific mRNA codon recognition, and the 3' end, to which the tRNAs corresponding amino acid is attached (by aminoacyl-tRNA synthetases). tRNAs cope with the degeneracy of the genetic code in two manners: having more than one tRNA (with a specific anti-codon) for a particular amino acid; and 'wobble' base-pairing, i.e. permitting non-standard base-pairing at the 3rd anti-codon position.
Source: Rfam by way of RNAcentral